RNAcentral lists this unclassified non-coding RNA (2114 nucleotides) under Hevea brasiliensis (rubber tree). Lineage: Eukaryota; Viridiplantae; Streptophyta; Magnoliopsida; Malpighiales; Euphorbiaceae. The record is from RNAcentral.
GCAAGUUCAACGCUAUUCUAAAAUUAUUCAUGAAAAUCCACGAUAACCCAAUUUUUUUCAUUUAAACCGUGCUAUGCUCGUGGCUACCGACAGCCACCAUUCCACAUCACGAGCGACCCUUUUGAGUGCCAACCAUCACUCCACCACAUAUGCGCAUGUUGCAGGUUACAGCUGGAGCCCCUCCAAAUUCCCUCAUGUCCGCCACCGCAACCGCCACAGCAACAUCGUCCGCUCCACAAGAGCAGCCGAUUCUAAUCCCUUCCCUCCCAAAUGAUAUCGCUUUAAAUAUCCUAGCUCGGCUACCUAGGUCUCACCACCCUCUCCUUUCCUUGGUCUCCAAGCCUUUCCGCUCUGUCUUCUCCUCCCCUCUCUUCUAUACCACCCGCUCUCUCCUUCGCUGCUCCCAACCUUUUCUCUAUCUCUCUAUCCGCAUCCCCACCACAAGCUCCUUGCAUUGGUUCACACUUUAUCACAACUCUCCGAAUCGCACAAAACCUCCAUAUUUCCUAGUCCCAGUCCCACCUACCCCCUCUCCUUUACUUGGCUCUGCUCUGGUUGCUGUUGGCCCCAAGAUCUACGUCAUCGGCGGCUGCCUCAAGGAUGUCCCCUCCUCCCACGUAUGGGCUCUGGAUUGCCGCUUCCACACCUGGGAAUCCGUUCCCAACAUGAGAAUUUCCCGCGAAUUCGCCGCCGCCGGGGUGGUGGAUGACAAAAUCUACGUCAUCGGCGGCUGCGUCGUGGAUACUUGGGCCCGGUCGAAGAAUUGGGCGGAGGCUUAUGACCCAAAGACUAGAACUUGGGAAUCAGUGGAUAGCGCGCACGAUAAUUUAUUGCGAGAGAAAUGGAUGCACGCGAGUGCUGUGAUAGAUAACAGAAUCUACGCAAUGGCGGACAGGAAUGGGGUGGUUUACGAGCCCCGAACUAAGAAAUGGGACAGUGUAGGGAGUGAAUUGGAUUUAGGAUGGAGAGGGAGGGCGUGUGUGGUGGAUGAGGUUUUGUAUUGUUACGAUUUCUUGGGAAAGAUUAGGGGUUUCGACGUGGGAAAGGGUUUUUGGAAGGAGUUGAGAGGGGUGGAUAAGGAGUUGCCAAGGUUCUUGGCCGGGGCAACAAUGGCAAAUGUUGGAGGGAAGUUGGUGGUGGUUUGGGAGAAGAAAGGGAGUGGAAUUGGGAAUGAAAAUGGAAAUGGGGAUGGGAAGGGAAAGGGAAAGGAAAUGGAGAUAUGGUGCGCUGAAAUUGAGGUGGAGAAGAAGGGAGAUGAGGAACUGUGGGGCAAGAUCAAAUGGUGUGAUGUUGUUCACAAGGUUCCAAUUAGGUCCACCAUUGUUCAUUGCUUGGCGGUUACGUUGUGAGGAUCUAUUGGAACAGGCCAAGCUAAACUUGCCUUGAGAUGACAUGGGGAAGUCUCAACAAGGGAGCCAUGAAGAAGUUUAAGCCUGAUCUCCAUGAUUAUAGUCUCAAGCUGGUAUGUAAUCAGGAGACUACCAUGGGCAUGUGAAGGAUCUAAAAAUAUUCAGGGCAGUUGACUUGGAAUCACUUUAAUACCAAAGAGGAGUUGCUAGAGUAAUGCUCCUUUUCGUGUGUGUGGCCCAUGUAAUUAGUAUUUCUGUUUUGUUGUCAUUUAUUGUAUAUAUUGGUUUGUAAGUGUUCAAGGCAAAAAGCUCUUGCCAGUUUUAUAAAGAAUUCUUUGGUGAAAGAUUGGGUUCAUAGGAAUAAGCUUUUGUUGCAUGUUAAUUAGUUGAAGUUGUGCAGAAGCUAAACAACAUGAAAUAUAUAUAUUUAUAUAUUGUAUUAUCCUUUAAAUACUUUAGUCAGUUUUGUGUUUUCCUAGUUGCUUAUUCAUGAUGAGAACCAGAAAAUGAUAUCUGCAGAGCAGGAUGCCAACUGCCAAAUAAAUAUUGACAUGGUAAGUUUAUUUCAAAUGCCAAGAAUGCCUCUACAGAAAAAUUUUUUUUUUUCUUCUGGAUCCAGUUUUUGUAUUUUAUGCUUGUGCUGAAGUCUCUUGCCAGAGACUAGGGUAGAAUACUGCCAAGGAGGUGUCUAUUCCCAUUCCUCCAGCUGAUUCUAUUUUUGCUGGUUGUCCGUAAUGGUUGCUAUAUGGUUUGGUGAGGCUACUG